This 465-nucleotide ribosomal RNA is filed under the name Vreelandella stevensii. RNAcentral's name for it is "partial 16S ribosomal RNA". It matches the Rfam family "Bacterial small subunit ribosomal RNA", at positions 338 to 795 of the family's 1533-position model. The record is from RNAcentral. Lineage: Bacteria; Pseudomonadati; Pseudomonadota; Gammaproteobacteria; Oceanospirillales; Halomonadaceae.
CCUACGGGGGGCUGCAGUGGGGAAUAUUGGACAAUGGGCGAAAGCCUGAUCCAGCCAUGCCGCGUGUGUGAAGAAGGCCUUCGGGUUGUAAAGCACUUUCAGUGGGGAAGAAAGCCUUGGGGCUAAUACCCUCGAGGAAGGACAUCACCCACAGAAGAAGCACCGGCUAACUCCGUGCCAGCAGCCGCGGUAAUACGGAGGGUGCGAGCGUUAAUCGGAAUUACUGGGCGUAAAGCGCGCGUAGGCGGUCUGAUAAGCCGGUUGUGAAAGCCCCGGGCUCAACCUGGGAACGGCAUCCGGAACUGUCAGGCUAGAGUGCAGGAGAGGAAGGUAGAAUUCCCGGUGUAGCGGUGAAAUGCGUAGAGAUCGGGAGGAAUACCAGUGGCGAAGGCGGUCUUCUGGACUGACACUGACGCUGAGGUGCGAAAGCGUGGGUAGCAAACAGGAUUAGAUACCCCGGUAGGC